GCUUACGGCCAUACCAGCCUGGGGUACGCCCGAUCUCGUCUGAUCUCGGAAGCUAAGCAGGGUCGGGCCUGGUUAGUACUUGGAUGGGAGACCGCCUGGGAAUACCAGGUGCUGUAAGCA
Molecule: ribosomal RNA, 120 nt
Filed under: Salmo salar (Atlantic salmon)
Lineage: Eukaryota; Metazoa; Chordata; Actinopteri; Salmoniformes; Salmonidae
Source: RNAcentral